Molecule: ribosomal RNA, 497 nt
Filed under: uncultured bacterium
Lineage: Bacteria
Description: partial 16S ribosomal RNA
Rfam family: Bacterial small subunit ribosomal RNA
Source: RNAcentral
GAUGAACGCUGGCGGCGUGCCUAAUACAUGCAAGUCGAGCGAACAGACGAGGAGCUUGCUCCUCUGACGUUAGCGGCGGACGGGUGAGUAACACGUGGAUAACCUACCUAUAAGACUGGGAUAACUUCGGGAAACCGGAGCUAAUACCGGAUAAUAUAUUGAACCGCAUGGUUCAAUAGUGAAAGACGGUUUUGCUGUCACUUAUAGAUGGAUCCGCGCCGCAUUAGCUAGUUGGUAAGGUAACGGCUUACCAAGGCAACUAUGCGUAGCCGACCUGAGAGGGUGAUCGGCCACACGGGAACUGAGACACGGUCCAGACUCCUACGGGAGGCAGCAGUAGGGAAUCUUCCGCAAUGGGCGAAAGCCUGACGGAGCAACGCCGCGUGAGUGAUGAAGGUCUUCGGAUCGUAAAACUCUGUUAUUAGGGAAGAACAAAUGUGUAAGUAACUAUGCACGUCUUGACGGUACCUAAUCAGAAAGCCACGGCUAACUACGUG